ACAAAUAAAACUCUUGGCGCUGACAAAUUUCUGUGGUAUAAGAGGAAAUAAAACACUUCAGGAUGUGCUGCUACUGGAAAAUAAUCGAGGGCGGCAACAGUAACUCGGCUUCUCAUCAAGCCAUCAUCACCACCACCACGCCAUGGACGACAACGUACGUUUACAUGCACAUAUUACGAUAUUAAUCUGAAAUUUGACAAUAUUCUGAUUAGUACUGAGUCAUGUAAACGCCUCAAUCCGAUUGCCCGAUUCAGAUUAAGACAAUAUUCUGAUUCCCCAAAUUCCGAUUUGGAAUAGGUCUGUUCUGAAAUCUAUUGCAUGUAAACACCUUAUUCAGAAAAUCCACUGAACAGAGAUAUAUACGCAUGCUCAGUCCGCAAGGAAUUAUGGGUGCUAACAGACGCUUAGCUCUCGGAUCCAUACAUCGCCUGGUCCUUCAAUCCUCUUGGCUACAUCCAGACCCUGAGAUUGGGAUUGGGAAUUCCGUCUCCUGCGUUUAAUCUGGCUCAGAAACUGGCAACACUGAUAACAAACUGCCCACGCUUGUUCUUCAUUUAUCGGCUGACCGUAGAGGGUUAAAAUUUCUUCCAGACAGAGGACAUCUCCUUCCCCAGAGUCCACCUCGGUGUCUCCAUCUCUGAGAGCCGCGGAGGAGAUUAACGUUACCGCUCCAUCUUCAUUCUCAGGCGGUCUGGCCAUUAUUUUUAUUUAUUUAUUUAUUUAUUUAUUUAUUAUAUCACACUUCCAGAGUCUUCUGUUGUUUAUGACAAAAAAGUAAGCAUUACAUAAAUAAAAUAUAACGUCCUUUAGAGAGCUGGAGCAUCUUUCUUCCGCGCCAUCCACUAAAUCCACACUGCUCACACACACUUCCCAUUCAGCUCCAGCGCUCUGUGUGUGUGUGUGUGUGUGUGUAUGUUUUGCUUUCGUGUUCCUCUUCAGCAGAGCCCGGGUCAUAUGACGGAUGUAAGUCCGCAGGGUCCUAAAAGGAGAGUACUUCCGACACAUCAGCACAAGCCAAGGCGUGGCAGCGUGACGUCACGACUACUUAUUUAUUUGUUUGCGUACACGUUUCUUUCUUUCUUUAUUUAUUUAUUGACACGUACUGCUGCGGUCAGGGCCAAGUGAGGACUGGGAAGGUUUUUAUCAACCAGUAUUUAGCGAUUUGAAAUCUAACCAGUAAGGCAAAAGAAAGCUUUAGAAACCUCAAAUCACGCUGUUAUUUUCUUGCUUUACUUUUCACUAUGAGCGCCGCCGCCAUGUUGAAGUGACGUCACGGAAUCGCAACCGGGAGAAGUCGGACAUGCGCAUUUCGUUCUUUUGCACUACUUAGUUGUUUCACAAGGUGGUAACAGUGACCCAGGGCUGUUGAUUCUCAAGGUAGUUGAAGAAUAAACAGAAGAGACGAGUGCAGGCCAGAAAGUACCGGCAUUUGUAUAAUUCUACCCUCAAAGAGUAUAAGGAUUUGCCCAAGCAUUGUUCUUCGUUUUGUUGUUAUUGUUCUUCGUUGUCGUCCUUCACACCAGAAGACCUGCUUUACUGCUCUCUACUGACUGUUGUAGACCAGGAGGGGUAGUGCAAGUUGUCGUAAUGCGUAUGCGUACGCGUACAUGUCAAAUGGAGUAUACUUUGAAAGGCUAUGCGUAUGACUGUGCACAUACGCUAGCGGACGCGUAAAAAACGAAGUAUACCAGAGGCUUUAAGCUCAAGAGAUAAAUAACAGCGUGUGGGUUUUUUUUUUUUUUAACCAGCGUAAAGUUUUUAAGGGAGGUGGACUUCUGAGUCUCUGUUUAUGUUUGAAAUAUGAGUGGGUGAUACUUUGAAAUUUUAAAUGUCCCCUGCUGAAAAAAAAAAACUGUAGAAACCCUCAUAGAAUUUGUAAUGGUUUUAAUGGAAACUGUAAUGGUCCCUGUGGGUGUCUAUUGGUAAUUUGUUGCGUUCUAUUGGUGGCAUGUUAUGUCUAGUGGAUACCAUUAAGGACCAAUAAUGUUCAUGGUUUUAAUGGUUGGCUGAUGGUUUGUAAUGGUAUUUGUAAAAUGUCUGUGAUGGAUUCUAUUGUUUUUUCAUUUUCUUUCUGCAGGAUUUUUUAUCAGACCGCACUUUCAUCUAAUUUUCGUCACUAUUAACAGUGAAUUAUCACAUAUCUACUUUAACAGUAAAUUAAGUGAUAACCAAACAACACUUUAAUUCCAGUUUAUGUAGACAUCUUAUAGUGAGUAUUUAUUUUAUUUCCAAAAUCGGAUGGCUGAGUUUGUGUAAAUGCUCUAAUCUGGGAAUUAGGAGGUUCCCAGUUAUCAUGAAUCUGAUAUACUGCAAUCCACUGUACAUGGAACUUGUGGUGGCUUUAGCAGUUAAGGCUCUGGGUUACUGAACGGAAGGUCGGGGGUUCAAGCCCCAGUACUGCCAAGCUGCCACUGUUGGGCCCUUGAGCAAGGCCCUUAACCCUCUCUGCACUGUAUCAUGCACUCUAACCCCAGCUUCCUGACAUGCUGGGGUAUGUGAAGAAAAGAA
Long non-coding RNA from Ictalurus furcatus (blue catfish), 2508 nucleotides. RefSeq lists it as uncharacterized. The transcript has 2 exons. Lineage: Eukaryota; Metazoa; Chordata; Actinopteri; Siluriformes; Ictaluridae. The record is from RefSeq and is a predicted model, not a curated record.